RNAcentral lists this long non-coding RNA (1852 nucleotides) under Mytilus galloprovincialis (Mediterranean mussel). Lineage: Eukaryota; Metazoa; Mollusca; Bivalvia; Mytilida; Mytilidae. The record is from RNAcentral.
AUUAUUAAGGUCUUUCCUUUAUCUAUAAGGAAAGACCUUACUGUAUUUCUUCUGAUUAUUAUUCUUCUUGUUCCGCCAAACUUUGACAAAAUUUCCCUCCGUAACCGUAAACCAAGUCGCUUUCAUGUUCAAACUUUGUAUUGGUUUCAUGAAUACCUAUCCGGAACUCACCCUGUGAGUCGAAAUAUUUUGUCGGUUCGGAGUAAUCCCUCCGAAACCAAAAAACCUUGUUAUCGUUCCAACACCGUAACCGUAAUAGGUAGAAAAAAAACGAAGGGUGAAAUUUGUUCAGGACCAGACCCCGGUUCUUCGUUACAUUUGGAUCGAAAAGAUUCAACGACUCAUUGGUAGGGUUAUGCCCCUAUCAAAAUUAACCGGUGUCGGUUGGCCACCAAAACUCAGAAACCGUAAGUCUUAGACACCUAGGAUCUUCACCAAUCAUCAUCAAUUCAUGUAUCUUUAAAAAAUACCUCAAGGUCAAAUGUGUAUGUUGACCUUGACCUUUGACCUAACACCUUGUUAUGGGAUAAUCUCAGAAACCAUUAUAAUUACAGAAGUUUUAAAUAGUGGAAAAUGUUUGGGUCAUUAUGGCGCAACUUUGUUACAUUUUGACCAAAGAGAUUUGACCUUUCUAUAAGGGGCAUAACCCCUGUUUUAGGUUUCUGAAAAGACAAAAUCAGCUUUUACUAUAUAACCAAAGGUCCUAGACCCUUGGGGUCUUCAGUAAUGGCAUUGGGGACUAAUGACCUUGACAAAGGUCAAAAGGUCAAAGGUCAAGGUCAUGUCCAAAAUAGCGAAUUUAGUGUUUUUAACCUUAUAUAAAGGAUUUUUAAUGUGUUUUCGAGCUUUUUAAGGUUGACCUUGACCUCUUCAAUACAUUCUACGUCUGUUGGAACAUGUAUUUUACAUUACAAAAGGAAAGACCUCUCAAUUGUUCAAGAACAAUUGACAGUUUAAUUAUUAUUUUUUUUUUUCUUCCGCCAACUUUUGGUUCCUCCACAAUUUUUUUGUUUCGCAAGAUGUCGCUUAGACAUAUGGUAUAUGAUAUCGAACAGUUAUUACGCUUUUGUAACUGACACCGUGUAACCAAAAUCUUUCCCAUAUAAGAGUUAUCUCCCCGAACACUGUUUUUCUUGUUAUCGCGUAAUCUUCACAACCGUAUAAGAAACCGACAAAUUUAUUUUUGCAAAUUGCUCAUUACAUCUUCAGGAUGUGCUGUUUUAUUUUGACCGAAGCCGUAUAGAGAUUCCAUAUGAGAGUUAUUUCCCCUUUUGUAUUUGAAAUUUUGAAAUGUAUUUUAAACUGGAAAACCAUAAGUGAUAGAGACCUAGGGUCUUUUGAUUUGAGAUCCUUGGUCCAAAAAAAUGAAAAUUAGGUCAAGGUCAAAGGUCAAGGUCAUAUUCUAAAUUUUGAUUUUGGCUUAUUUUCACUCAUUUUCAUUAACCUUAUCAGAUAUCGACAAAUUAUUUUUACUAAAUUGUUAGUUGCGACAUGUCGUAACAUAAUAAUUUUGGUUGAAAGGGUGCGUAGACAAUAAAUGGGAGUUUUAGCCCCUACCACAUCUAAAAUUAUGCGUAAAGUGAUAUUACUUAUUAACCAUACAUAUUAGAGACCUAGGGUCUUUUGAUUUGAGAUCCUCAGUUUGUGACCUUGAAAUUGAGGUCAAGGUCAUAGGUAAAUUUGGCGUUUUAGAUUAUGACCUUUAGUUAAAAUUCAUAUCUAUACAUCAUAAAGCCAUAGGAACUGACAUUUUAGACUGAUUUUUAAUAUUUUAAUAUCAAAAUAGAUAUUUACUGGUGGAAAGACCUUCAAUUGUUCUCUGAACAAUUGGUUUUUAAUUUUAUUCAAAUUU